Non-coding RNA from Glycine soja, 58 nucleotides. NCBI's taxonomy places the organism in Eukaryota, Viridiplantae, Streptophyta, Magnoliopsida, Fabales, Fabaceae. The record is from Rfam.
UAGCUCAGCUAGUAGAGCACAAGGCUCUUAACCUUGUGGUUGUGGGUUUGAGCCCCAC